ACUGUAUUGCCAGGUCCCUGGAUGUGGUGUGAAGACUGUUCUCUACAAAACUCUAGAAGGCACGAUUUUCAUCAGAUUCACAGCCAGCGUGGCCAUACGCAGUAAGCCUGUAUUAGAUAGAGACGGUGUCUCCCGUCAGGGCAAAGACUUGGUGCUUUUGGUUGCAUAUACCUUAUAAAAGAUUUGGGUUUCCAAAGAUCAGAAUUCUUUGACUGUGAAACAAACUCACUGUGUGUCCAGCAUCCACCUGAGUUUUCUCUGCACCACUCCAAUGUGACUGAGGAGUCAAAGGAAACUGGUGUGAACAUGAAGCUCAUGCUACCUGCUGUGCCAUGAGUAGCAAAGUUCUUUGUGUCUGAUCCUGGAGUCCUGUGUCUUCUGCAGAAUCUGUGAAAUUGUAGCCAGCUAACCUGUUAGCUUGUAAGAUGAUAAAAUCUCAGAUCCUUCACAAUUCUCUAUGAUAUGGUGAUUUACUUCUUGACUACAGAGAUGAAAAAUAUAAGAAAUUGUGACUAACACUGAUAUUUUCUUCCAGGGUUCUUUAGAGGUAUCCUCCAACAGCAAUGGCAGUAAAUAUUCAAAUGAGAACAUAUUUGUGGAGAAGACAAAUAUUUUUGUACAUGUUUAAUUUGGGGUGCUGUUGAUGUAUCUUUGAAAAUAAUGUCAAUGAACUAUAUAUGUUCUGAAAAAUAUGAGGGGGAUCACAUCUAGAAGUAUGCAUUUGGUAAAAAAAUAUGCAUAGAAAUAAAAGAUAAAAUCACAAAAAUGUCUAAGGUUAUUAUUAAGUAGAACUUAGAGAGAAAUGAUGGCUAAGGACAGAAUUUUUAAAAAGAGGGCAUCAAUUGAAGCAUGAGCAGAUGUGGACAAUUUAAAGCGGAAAAUAUUAGGGAAACAGAGGCAGACCCCAGAGAGUACAGUGAUCUAGAGGUCAAGAGAGAAGAGCAUUUAACACGGAAAGAUAAGAUAUUCAGGUCAAAUAAGGUAUAAAGACAGAGGAGGACUUGGAUAGAAGAAAAAAUUGGCAAUGAUGUUCUCUCUUUUAUUGGGUGCUAUCCAUUCAGGGAUUAUGAGUGUUGCAGGCAGAUUGUCUUCAAGGUGUAUCUUGGUUGAAAUAAACAGCACCAAGGAUUAAAGCAACAGUAUAGAACUUCCCAGUACAGAUUAAGAGUAUAGUUUUAGUGAAUCCAGAAGGGUAAU
RNAcentral lists this long non-coding RNA (1197 nucleotides) under Homo sapiens (human). Its description in RNAcentral is "HSALNT0018928". The record is from RNAcentral. Lineage: Eukaryota; Metazoa; Chordata; Mammalia; Primates; Hominidae.